This 438-nucleotide ribosomal RNA is filed under the name Coryphella athadona. Its description in RNAcentral is "partial large subunit ribosomal RNA". It matches the Rfam family "Bacterial large subunit ribosomal RNA", at positions 1829 to 2597 of the family's 2925-position model. Lineage: Eukaryota; Metazoa; Mollusca; Gastropoda; Nudibranchia; Coryphellidae. The record is from RNAcentral.
AGCCAUUAGACGAUAUUUAUGGUUAAACCUGCCCAAUGUUAGGAAUAAUCAAUGGCCGCGGUACCCUGACCGUGCUAAGGUAGCGUAAUCAGUUGGCUUUUAAAUGGAGUCAGGAAUGAAUGGGAAAACCGGGUUUAGCUGUCUCCAAACUAUUUUUUUGAAUUUACUGUUUAAGUGAAAAAGCUUAAUAUUGAUAAAGGGACGAGAAGACCCUUAGAAUUUUUUUUAAAAUGAAUGUUUUUCAUAAUAAUUUUGUUGGGGCGACAGAGAAAUAUUUAAAACUUUCUUUAAAUUUACAAGCCGAUAUUGUUAAGCAAGAAUAAAUUACCUAAGGGAUAACAGCAUAAUUCUACAAUUGAGUUUGUGACCUCGAUGUUGGACUAGGAAACUAACAGGCUAGCCGUUUGUUGUGUGGGUUCUGUUCGAACUUUAAUUCCU